This 605-nucleotide ribosomal RNA is filed under the name uncultured archaeon. RNAcentral describes it as "bacterial SSU rRNA". It matches the Rfam family "Archaeal small subunit ribosomal RNA", at positions 324 to 929 of the family's 1478-position model. The record is from RNAcentral.
UACGGGGCGCAGCAGGCGCGAAAACUUUACAAUGCUGGCAACAGCGAUAAGGGAACCUCGAGUGCCAGGUUACAAAUCUGGCUGUCGAGAUGCCUAAAAAGCAUUUCAUAGCAAGGGCCGGGCAAGACCGGUGCCAGCCGCCGCGGUAACACCGGCGGCUCGAGUGGUAACCGUUAUUAUUGGGUCUAAAGGGUCUGUAGCCGGCCGGAUAAGUCUCUUGAGAAAUCUGGCAGCUUAACUGUCAGGCUUUCAGGAGAUACUGUCUGGCUCGAGGCCGGGAGAGGUGAGAGGUACUUCAGGGGUAGGGGUGAAAUCUUGUAAUCCUUGAAGGACCACCAGUGGCGAAGGCGUCUCACCAGAACGGACCUGACGGCAAGGGACGAAAGCUAGGGGCACGAACCGGAUUAGAUACCCGGGUAGUCCCAGCUGUAAACGAUGCAGGCUAGGUGUUUGGACGGCCACGUGCCGUUCUAGUGCCGCAGGGAAGCUGUUAAGCCUGCCGCCUGGGGAGUACGAUCGCAAGAUUGAAACUUAAAGGAAUUGGCGGGGGAGCACCACAAGGGGUGAAGCUUGCGGUUUAAUUGGAGUCAACGCCGGAAAUCUCA